UUAAGGAUUUAAUUGUUAUAUUUAAUUAAUAUUAAUAGAUAUAUUAUUUUUGUUAUGUGAUUGAUUUUAUUUUUUGAAAACGAUAGGGAAGAGUAUUGUGAAAGAUUUUUGAAAAAUUGAAAAAGGAUUUUUUUUGAAGUAAUGAAUUUGUACCUUUUGUAUUAGGGAUUAAUUAGAUAGAUUAAAUAUUUAUAUUUCUCGAAGAAUUUUGAGCUACUUUUAUUUAAAGACAUUGUUGUAAAAAUGUUAGAUAUUAUUAGGUAGAAAUGAAAUUUUUGUCGAAAAAUUUGAUAUCUGGUUGUUAUGAAAAAUUAUAUAUUUUAGAUAAUUUUUUUUUUUUUAGAAUUAUUAUUUUUCUUUUUGGGGAUAAGCUUAAAAAGUUUUUAUAAAGGUUGAAAUUUUGUGCUGAGGGUUUAGAAAUUACUUAAUUAUUUGUAAUAAAAUAGCAUUGUGAGAAUUUAGUAUUUAUUUUUAAGUUUUUUGUUUAAUUGGAUGCAGAAGUAUUAAUAUUAAUAUAAGUAUAAUCUUUGCUAGGUGGAUAUAAUUGAAUUAGAUUGUUUUAGAUUUUAUUAAGUUAAUAGGAAUUAGGCAAGAAUAAUUUUUGUCUGUUUAACAAAAACAUAGUAUUUUGAGAUAAUAAAAUAUUUGGCCUGCUCAAUGAUUAUUAAAUUGCUGUGGUAUUUUGACUAUACGAAGGUAUUGAAAUAAGGCUUUUAUUGGGUACUAAGAGAAUGGUUGAACAGGGAUUUACUUUCUUUUAACUUAAAAUGGAAAUUGAUUUAAAAAUGAAAAAGUUUUUAUGAAUUUUUGGGACAAGAAGACCCUAUGAAUUUUUUUUAUAUAUAUAUUUUUAAUUUUUAUUUAAAGAAAGUAAAAUAUUUAUAUAGGUUGAUUGGGGUGAUUUUUAAAGAAUAUAUAUCUUUAAAAAUGAUGAAAUUAGAACCAUAAUUUUUGGUUAUUUGAUUAAAAUACUCUAGGGAUAACAGCGUAAUUAUUUUGGAUAGUUCAUAUAGAUAAAAUAGUUUGCGACCUCGAUGUUGGAUUAAGAUGCUUGUAUAAUGAAGUAGUUAUAUAAAGGAGUUUGCUCAACUUUUAAAUUCUUACAUGAUCUGAGUUCAGACCGGCGUAAGCCAGGUCGGUUUCUAUCUAAAUCAUGAUUUAAUAUUUUUAUAGUACGAAAGGAAUUAAAAGUAUAAAAUUUUUAAGUAAAGUAAAUUUUAAAUUAGGAUAAUUUAUU
Molecule: ribosomal RNA, 1237 nt
Filed under: Alectorobius atacamensis
Lineage: Eukaryota; Metazoa; Arthropoda; Arachnida; Ixodida; Argasidae
Description: 16S ribosomal RNA
Source: RNAcentral